This 315-nucleotide unclassified non-coding RNA is filed under the name uncultured Tomentella. RNAcentral describes it as "sequence contains 5.8S rRNA gene". The record is from RNAcentral. Lineage: Eukaryota; Fungi; Basidiomycota; Agaricomycetes; Thelephorales; Thelephoraceae.
GAACGCACCUUGCGCCCUUUGGCUAUUCUGAAGGGCAUGCCUGUUUGAGUAUCAUGAACACCUCAACUCUCAUGGUCCAUCCAUGAUGAGCUUGGACUUUGGGGGUCUUGCUGGCCUAGCGUCGGCUCCUCUCAAAUGGAUCAGCUUGCCAGUGUCUGGUGGCAUCACGGGUGUGAUAACUAUCUACGCUUGUGGUUUCCUGCCAUAUAACCUUCAGUGAUGGAGGUUCGCUGGAGCUCACAGAUGUCUCUCCUCGGUGAGGACAGCUUUUUGAAAGUUUGAUCUCAAAUCAGGUAGGACUACCCGCUGAACUUA